CGGUCCAAGCCGAAUCAUUUAGAAUUGGGUAUGCAGUUUUGACUGGUUCCCCUCUCUCCUCUUAAAUCUUAUAUCGAAUAUAAUUAAUUAAAAAUAUUUCCUCCUUCUCUUCCCCUCCGUCACCUCCAUCAAUCCGAACCAAACAGACGGUUAAUGGGCAAUAACCAAUUCCCUAAUAAAAAACCAGAGAUAUGACUAAAGUCACAUGCACAAUCCACUUCAUUUUCAAGAGGCCCGUCAACUCAGCGCUGUUACUUUCGCCAGAAAUCGUCGGAAUCGCACUCAACUCAUCUUCCCGGUAAACUCAACCGGCCUCGGUCAUGAGCAGCCAGAAACGGUAACCAAACUCUUCACAGGUUUUCCUUCCCCAUUCCUCACCUGUAUCGGGCGCAAGAAUUAGAACAUUGAUAUAUUAUUACAGUCGGAAUCACUACUGUGUGACCAAUGGAUCAUGGAUAUUCCUCUUGUUGAAUCACUCUCUUGCAAGAGGGCAUUCAUCCAUGAUUUAUCUAGAGCUUGACAUGUGGAAAGCUAAAUAGGAUGUCGUUUGGAAGAGGAAGAUGUUGAGGGAUUUAACUUUACUGUACAAGGGCCGAUUAUAACUCUUUCCUUCUCUGGGAGGAAGUAAAAGGAGAUUGCACCUUCAAUGCAUGAAAAUGCUGCUUUUGUGAGUAUAUCAAUUACUUGUUUACUGAAUUACACUGUUCACCUUUUAUGAUAAUGGACAUCUAGGUAAUAUAUGAUUGGUGGUCUUUCAAGUUGUAACUGAAUGCAAAGUCUUUAUUGAACAACUGCUGUUGCGGAAAAAACAAUUUUGAAGCGUAGAGAUAGUGAAUACUGAUAAAGUACAUGCACAUGCAUAAUGCACAUGCAUAACAAACCCUGAAGUUCAAAUUUCAGUUAUUGUUUUUUCAUUCAACAGUUACAACUCCUUUUUUUUUCAAUUCAGAAAAGUGCUUUUUAAGAAUAGAUGUUAUUUCAGCCCUGAAAACUAUAUGAAAAUAAUAUGAACUAACCUUGGGCAAAUCCAGUCUCCACUUUUCCAUCCUGGUGGAGAACUGCAAUCAGAUCCAUAUCCUCCAGAACCGGCCAUGUUACCCCCAUAUCCAGAAGAAUAAUCAUCUUUAAAUGAACCACAUCUAUAGCAGUUGGAUCUGCUUGCAUAGUUGUGAGCUCCGCAGUUCAUAGCGGUGCAAAACCAGUCCCCUGCCAACGUUUCAGUCCUGUUAUAUCUAUAGGUUGAUGGGUCAGGGCCUCCAUACUUGGGGUACCCACAACUUUGGCAUGCUUCCCUCUUCUUGAAAUUUAUGUGCUCGCAAGCACCACACAUCCAAUCUCCUCCAGACCAGCUCAUUUUCCUGUC
This is a long non-coding RNA of Lathyrus oleraceus (garden pea), 1363 nucleotides long. RefSeq lists it as uncharacterized. The record is from RefSeq and is a predicted model, not a curated record. The transcript has 3 exons. NCBI's taxonomy places the organism in Eukaryota, Viridiplantae, Streptophyta, Magnoliopsida, Fabales, Fabaceae.